GGACCCCGCCUCUUUGGAACGCGCCGGCGGCAGCGGCGGUGGCCCCUGACAGCAGCGGUGAUGGCGGCGGCGGGUCUGGCGCUGCGCGGGGCGCUCGCCCCCGGGGCGGCCGCGGUGGCUGCGGCGUCGGUUCGCUGCCGCGGCGGGCUCUGGAGCCGCCUGCCCCCACUGCCGGCCGCGCCCUGCCGCUCCGCGGCGCACUUCGCUUUCCAGCCGGACCCGGCGCCCAGCGCGUACGGGGAAACUCAGAAGAUGAAUCUCUUCCAAUCCAUAACAAGUGCCUUGGACAAUGCUUUAGCCAAAGAUCCGACUGCAGUAAUAUUUGGUGAAGAUGUGGCCUUUGGUGGGGUCUUCAGGUGUACAGUUGGCUUGCGAGACAAAUAUGGUAAAGAUAGAGUUUUCAACACCCCGUUGUGUGAACAAGGAAUUGUUGGCUUUGGUAUUGGAAUUGCUGUUGCAGGAGCCACAGCCAUUGCAGAAAUUCAGUUUGCAGAUUACAUUUUUCCAGCAUUUGAUCAGAUUGUUAACGAAGCAGCAAAAUAUCGUUACCGCUCUGGAGAUCUGUUUAAUUGUGGAAACCUCACCAUCAGAGCCCCGUGGGGCUGUGUGGGUCAUGGUGCACUGUAUCACUCUCAAAGUCCCGAAGCUUUUUUUGCUCACUGCCCAGGAAUAAAGAUUGUUAUUCCAAGGAGUCCUCUUCAGGCCAAAGGAUUGCUUCUGUCAUGCAUAGAGGACAAAAAUCCCUGCAUAUUCUUUGAACCUAAAAUACUUUACAGAGCUGCAGUGGAACAAGUUCCGGUGGAGCCCUACACCAUUCCACUAUCUCAAGCUGAGGUGCUGCAGACGGGCAGUGAUGUGACACUCGUGGCUUGGGGCACUCAGGUACAUGUAAUCAAAGAAGUGGCAUCAAUGGCUCAAGAAAAGCUUGGUGUGUCCUGUGAAGUGAUUGAUCUGAGGACCAUCUUACCCUGGGAUACAGAGACUGUUUGUAAGAGAAGGUGGGCAGGGGUGCACUCAUGGUACCAGAGGAGGAUUGUGCAGCAGGACAGCCUCUCCUGUCACGCUCGUGUGCUAAGUCGGUGGCAAAGACUGGGCGAUUGCUGAUUAGCCAUGAGGCUCCUUUGACGGGAGGAUUUGCGUCUGAAAUCAGCUCCACAGUUCAGGAGGAAUGCUUUUUGAAUUUAGAAGCUCCUAUUACAAGAGUAUGUGGCUAUGACACUCCCUUCCCUCACAUCUUUGAGCCUUUCUACAUCCCAGACAAAUGGAAAUGCUAUGAUGCUCUUCGAAAUAUGAUUAACUACUGAGCAGUAGUACAGAGAUGAGAGGAACGACAGAGAAAUACAGAAGCCACCUUCAAAACUCUUGACACUUUACACAGAUCUUUUGGGUUUGGAAUUCACAGAGCAGACUGUUUUCUCUGAACUCAGCUAUCCUUAAUAUUCAUCUUGGCUGUUCUUCAGAAAGUUAAAAUCUUCCUUAAUUAUGAAAUCAGUGAUGGGCAGCUGAUUGCUAUAUAAGUAGUUUCAGAUGCAUUUAAAGAUAUUUCAGAUGUCAUAUGAAUGUUAGACAUUGCCAUGCUUCACAAGGUUACAUCUCUAAACUUCACUGUGUAAAUAUUAGAAGCAAGAUUUUAUUCAAUAAAACAUAUUAUGCACA
Columba livia (rock pigeon) is the source of this 1656-nucleotide RNA transcript. It is a transcript of the gene named branched chain keto acid dehydrogenase E1 subunit beta, with no coding region annotated. Lineage: Eukaryota; Metazoa; Chordata; Aves; Columbiformes; Columbidae. The transcript is spliced from 12 exons. The record is from RefSeq and is a predicted model, not a curated record.